CGUAGGGGCAAGCGUUAUCCGGAUUUACUGGGUGUAAAGGGAGCGUAGGCGGAUGGACAAGUCUGAUGUGAAAGGCUGGGGCUCAACCCCGGGACUGCAUUGGAAACUGCCCGUCUUGAGUGCCGGAGAGGUAAGCGGAAUUCCUAGUGUAGCGGUGAAAUGCGUAGAUAUUAGGAGGAACACCAGUGGCGAAGGCGGCUUACUGGACGGUAACUGACGUUGAGGCUCGAAAGCGUGGGGAGCAAACAGGAUU
RNAcentral lists this ribosomal RNA (253 nucleotides) under uncultured bacterium. RNAcentral describes it as "partial 16S ribosomal RNA". It matches the Rfam family "Bacterial small subunit ribosomal RNA", at positions 526 to 779 of the family's 1533-position model. The record is from RNAcentral.